CCAACGGCCCUCUUUAGGGCCACAUAUGAAAAAUUAGCGAAUACU
Molecule: non-coding RNA, 45 nt
Organism: Ancylostoma ceylanicum
Lineage: Eukaryota; Metazoa; Nematoda; Chromadorea; Rhabditida; Ancylostomatidae
Source: Rfam